This 330-nucleotide ribosomal RNA is filed under the name uncultured eukaryote. Its description in RNAcentral is "partial 18S ribosomal RNA". It matches the Rfam family "Eukaryotic small subunit ribosomal RNA", at positions 1470 to 1796 of the family's 1831-position model. The record is from RNAcentral.
CCCUUAGAUGUUCGGGGCCGCACGCGCACUACACUGAAGGAAUCAGCACGUCUUUCUCCUUGUCCGGAAGGACUGGGUAACCCGUUGAACCUCCUUCGUGCUAGGGAUUGGGGCUUGUAAUUCUUCCCCAUGAACGAGGAAUUCCCAGUAAGCGCGAGUCAUAAGCUCGCGUUGAUUACGUCCCUGCCCUUUGUACACACCGCCCGUCGCUACUACCGAUUGGAUGGUUUAGUGAGAUCCUCGGAUUGGUCCCGGAGCGGCCUCUGGUCGUGCCGGAGUGCCGAAAAGAAUGUCGAACUUGAUCAUCUAGAGGAAGUAAAAGUCGUAACA